AGAAAAAAGAAUCCAAACCAAAAAACAACAAAUAUGUCAACAUUUAUACAGAUGAAGGUGUUAAUCAACAAGAGGUGUUUUUUAAAGUCGUUAAAGGUCGUCGCAAUUGUAAUUUUCGAGCAUCUAGACAUGGUUUAGUAAAUAACUGUUUGGGUUGUGGUCGAGUUGUAUGCAAACAAGUAGGAUCUGGUCCAUGUAUUAAAUGGUGGUAGGUAUGUUUGAAUGAUGUGAAAAUUUUGUUGAAUUGCAAUAAUAAUAAAUCCAAACAAUUGUAUAACCAAUUAAUUGAACAAGCUAUUACGGCACCGGCAGACAAACAACAAAGCUCUUGAACAUUCUGAUAAGCAACUAGAGUUUGAUCAUGCCAGGUUAAGAACAUCAAAGUAUUUUCAAUUACAGGUUAAUAAA
Acyrthosiphon pisum (pea aphid) is the source of this 408-nucleotide long non-coding RNA. RefSeq lists it as uncharacterized. Lineage: Eukaryota; Metazoa; Arthropoda; Insecta; Hemiptera; Aphididae. The transcript is spliced from 3 exons. The record is from RefSeq and is a predicted model, not a curated record.